This is a non-coding RNA of Phrynosoma platyrhinos (Desert horned lizard), 72 nucleotides long. The record is from the annotation of a GenBank genome assembly. Lineage: Eukaryota; Metazoa; Chordata; Lepidosauria; Squamata; Phrynosomatidae.
GGCAGCAUGGGGUAGUGGUUUGAGAACUGGACUACAACUCAAGAGACCAGGGUUCAAAUCCCUGCUCAGCCA